CCUACGUGGCGCUGCAGUGGGGAAUAUUGCACAAUGGGGGAAACCCUGAUGCAGCCACGCCGCGUGAGUGAAGCAGUAUUUCGGUAUGUAAAGCUCUAUCAGCAGGGAAGAAAAUGACAGUACCUGACUGAGAAUCCCCGUCUAACUACGUGCCAGCAGCCGCGGUAAUACGGAGGGUGCAAGCGUUAUCCGGAUUUACUGGGUGUAAUGGGAGCGUAGACGGCUGCGCAAGUCAGAAGUGAAAGCCCGGGGCUCAACCGCGGGACUGCUUUUGAAACUGUGUAGCUAGAGGGCAGGAGAGGUAAGUGGAAUUCCUAGUGUAGCGGUGAAAUGCGUAGAUAUUAGGAGGAACACCGGUGGCGAAGGCGGCUUACUGGACUGUAACUGACGUUGAGGCUCGAAAGCGUGGGGAGCAAACAGGAUUAGAUACCCCAGUAGUC
This 440-nucleotide ribosomal RNA is filed under the name uncultured bacterium. RNAcentral's name for it is "partial 16S ribosomal RNA". It matches the Rfam family "Bacterial small subunit ribosomal RNA", at positions 338 to 795 of the family's 1533-position model. The record is from RNAcentral.